CCUGGUUGAUCCUGCCAGUAGUCAUAUGCUUGUCUCAAAGAUUAAGCCAUGCAUGUCUAAGUUCAAACCUUUAUAUGGUAAAACCGCGAAUGGCUCAUUAAAUCAGAUAUGGUUCCUUGGAUCAUAAUAAUACUACAGGGAUAACUGUAGUAAUUCUAGAGCUAAUACGUGCCUCGAGUCUCUGAACCGCAAGGUGAAGGGUGCAUUUAUUAGAUCACAAACCAAUCGGUCUCGGCCGGUUAUUGUGAUGACUCUGGAUAACUUUGUAUGAUCGCAGCUGGCUUUAUUGUCGGCGACGGAUCCAUCAAAUGUCUGCCCUAUCAACUUUCGAUGGUAGGUGAUAUGCCUACCAUGGUUAUGACGGGUAACGGGGAAUCAGGGUUCGAUUCCGGAGAGGGAGCCUGAGAAACGGCUACCACAUCCAAGGAAGGCAGCAGGCGCGUAAAUUACCCACUCUCAGAGAGAGGAGGUAGUGACGAUAAUAUCGAUCCGGACCUCAAAUGAGGCUCUGCAAUCGAAAUGAGUACAAUUUAAAUGCCUAUA
RNAcentral lists this ribosomal RNA (543 nucleotides) under Anoplodiscus cirrusspiralis. RNAcentral describes it as "bacterial SSU rRNA". It matches the Rfam family "Eukaryotic small subunit ribosomal RNA", at positions 3 to 537 of the family's 1831-position model. Lineage: Eukaryota; Metazoa; Platyhelminthes; Monogenea; Gyrodactylidea; Anoplodiscidae. The record is from RNAcentral.